ACUGAUUUAAAAUGAACAUAUUCGCUAAACAAAAGACCUUAUUGGAGUUUCACCACUUUUUCCACUAAUGUCCUUUUUCUGUUCCCAAAUUCCACCCAGGAUCACGCUGCAUUUAGUUAUUUCUUAGUCUCUCGCCGUUUUGUAGGACUGCAAUAACAGUUCCUCAAUCUUUCCUUAUCUUUCAUAACCGUGACAUCUUGAACCAGUACUGAUCAGUAUUUAUGAAAUGUUCCUCGAUUUGGGAUUGUCUGAUGUAUUUCCAUGAUUGGACUGAAGUUACGAACUUUUGGCAAUUACAGCACAAAAAUGAUGUGGAAUCCUUCCCAGUGCAUUCCAUCAGAGUUAUGGCAUUGAUAGUUCUUCUUACUGAUGAUGUUGAACUUGUUCAUUUGGUUCAGGUUUCUGCUGGGUUUCUCCAUUGUAAAGAUACUAUCUUUCCCCCUCAUAGGGGGAAAGAUCUUAGGAGAAAUACUUGGAGACUAUGAAAAUUUUGUAUUUUCUCAAACGUUAAAAUUUUUUUUCAGGCCAGGCGCAGUGGCUCAUGCCUCUAAUCCUAGCACUUUGGGAUGCCGAUGUGGGUGGAUCACCUGAGGUCAGGAGUUCAAAACCAGCUUGAUCAACAUGGAGAAACCCCAUACCUACCAAAAAUACAAAAUUAGCCAGGCAUGGUGGUGCAUGCCUGUAAUCCCAGCUACUCAGGAGGCUGAGGAAAGAGAAUUGCUUGAACCCGGGAGGAGAGGCUGCAGUGAGCUGAGAUCGUGCCAUUGCACUCCAGCCUGGAUAACAAGAGCAAAAGUCCAUCACAAAAAAAAAAAAAAGGCCAGGCGCAAUGGCUCACACCUGUAAUCCCAGCACUUUGGGAGGCCAAGGUGGGUGGAUCACCUGAGGUCAGGAGUUGGAGACCAGCCUGACCAACAUGGAGAAACCCCAUCUCUACUAAAAUAAAAUACAAAAUUAACUGGGCAUGGUGGUGCAUGCCUGUAAUCCCAGCUACUCAGGAGGCUGAGGCAGUAGAAUUGCUUGAACACGGGAGGUGGAGGUUGCCGUGAGCCGAGAUCCUGCCAUUGCACUCCAGCCUGGCCAACAAAAGCAAACCUCCAUCUCAAAAAAAAAAAACAACAACAAAACACCUAUUUUGACAGCCGGGCAUGGUGGCUCACACCUGUAAUCCCAGAACUUUGGGAGGCCAAGGCAGGCGGAUCACCUGAAGUCAGGAGUUCAAGACCAGCCUGGCGAACAUGGUGAAACCCCGUCUCUACUAAACAUACAAAAAUUAGUUGGGCAUGGUGGCAUGUGCCUGUAAGUUCCAGCUACUUGGGAGGCUGAGGCAGGAGAAUCACUUGAACCCAGAAGGCAGAGGUUGCAGUGAGCCGAGACGGCGCCAUUGCACUCCAGCCUGGGCAAUAGAGUGAGGGAUCUCAAAAAAUUAUAAUGAAAAAAUAAUAAUUCUAUUUUGAAUUGUGGUAAAAUAUACAUAAAAUUUACUACCUUAACCACUUCUAAGUGGCAGUUGGAACAGGGGUCAAGGAGAGCCCUUGGGUUGGGUAAUGUAUAUUCACAUUGCCAUGCAACCAAUCUCUGGAACUUUUUCAUCUGACAAAACCAAAACUCUAUAUCCACUAAGCAACUUCCCAUUUUCUCCCUUCCCCAUGUCCCUGGCAACCCCCGUUCUACCUUCUGUUUCUAUUAGUUUGCUUACUCAGUCUGGACGCUUCACAUAAGUGAAGGAACACCGUAUUUGUCUUUUUCUAACUGGCUUAUUUCACUUAGCGUAAUGUCCUCAAUGUUCAUCCAUGUUGUAGCAUGUGUUAGAAUUUCCUUCCUUUUUAAGGCUGAAGAACAUUUUAUUGUAUGUAUAUACCACAUUUUAUCAAUUCAUCUGCCUAUGGACAACUAGGCUGCAUCCAUCUUUUGACGAGUGUGAAUACCACUGCUAUAAAUAUCAGUGUACACAUAUUUCUAUGAGACCUUGCUUUCAAUUAUUUUGGCUAUAUACCCAGAAGUGAUAUUGCCGGAUCAUUUGGUAAUUCUAUUUUUAAUUUUUUGAGAAACUGCCUGUCCUGUGCUGAGCAGGUCUAUAUAAACCUACCCGCAAAGGCCAAGGAACCUGAGAUACCAAAGAAAGAGGCUGACAAAUCCAGUUUCUCAGAAAGAAACAUUUAAUAGGCGUUUAUGAACAGAAGGCAAGUCAGGGAUGGCACCAAGAUAAGAUGGUGGAUCCCUGUGCCAUCACCCCCACCCCCCCGACCCAGGGCUUCUAUAGCAUAGGGGAAGGGUAAUGCGGGCUUCAGCAGGGAUGUGUAUGGCCAGACACGGUGGCUCACGCCUGCAAUCCCAGCUCUUUGGGAGGCCAAGGUGGGCGGAUCACCUGAGGUCAGGAGUUCCAGACCAGCCUGGCCAACAUGGUAACACCUCGUCUCUACUAAAAAUACAAAAAUUAGCCAGGCGUGGUGGCAGGCGCCUGUAAUCCCAGUUACUCGGGAAGCUGAGGCAGGAGAAUCGCUUGAGCCCAGGAGGUGAAGUUUGCAGUGAGCUGAGAUUGUGCCACUGAAGUCCAACCUGGGAGACAGAGUGAGACUCGGUCUCAAAAAAUAAAAAAUAAAAAAUAAUUUUUUUAAAAAGAUAAAAUAGAAAUCGUAGAUGAAUUGUUGGAACUGGGAUUAAUCAGAAUAUGGCAGAUUAGCAUCCAAGAUGGAAUUGCUUUAUUCUCAUUCAAGGUUUCCCUCAUUCUUCACUCUCCCCAUGCUGGUCACCUUGCUGUUUGUUCCUCAAACACAUAUGAAAUGCGUUUCUGUCUUGGCAGUCAUCCUGCUACCUGUAAUGUCAGCACUGCUUUCUGUUGUCCCUUCAGUCAGGUCACUGUUCAAAUAGCUCUCUAGACAGGCUCUUCCUUAUCAUUCUACUUAAAAUAGCCCCCAAUCACUCUGUGUCCCUUUAGCCUGCUUCCUCUUCCUGCUAUUUCAUACUACCUGAAAAAAAUACUUGAACUUCCUAGAACAUAAGCUCAUAAAAGCAAGAACUGUGCUCCACCUCUCCUCUCCUCUACCCCAGCACUCAGAAGAGAAACAGAGUCAGCAUCCAGUGAGUGUUCAUGAAUCAAGUCACUGCUUGGCAGAAUUCAGCACUGGGACCACAGCCUCGCCUAUCUUCAACUCUUUCUCCUUCUGCUUUUCCUCCUCCCACUCUAGUAGCCACUCUUCUGGGGGCUUGUCCCUUAAAUGAUUAGUCCUUACUGACCUAUUUUCUGUCCACUUUAUCUGUUUUUGAGAGAGGGUCUCACUCUGUUGCCCAGGCUGGAGUGCAGUGGCAUGAAUAUGGGUCACUGCAGCCUCCACCUCCUGGGCUCAAGUGAUCUUCCUGCCUCAGCCUGCCAUGCCAUGUAACUGAGGCCACAGGCAUGUGCCACCAUGUCCAGCUAAUUUCUUGAUUUUUUUUUGGUAGAAAUGGGUCUCACUUUAUUGCCCAGUCUGGUCUUGAAGUCCUACACUCGAGCAGUCCUCUCAACUUGGCCUCCCAAAGUGCUGGGAUUACAGGCAUGAGAUACUGCACCUGGUCUUAUUUUUUCUUUUCUUAAGAUACAGGGUCUCACCAUCUGGCCCAGGCUGAACUCAAACUGCUGAGCUCAAGUAAUUCCCCCACCUCAGCCUCCGAAGUAGCUAGGACUAAAGGCAUGAAACCACCAUGCUUGGCUUGUCCAAUUUCAUUCUACACACUUUCUUGGUAUUUAAACAGCUGCUGUUGCUCUUCAUUCUGUAGCUCUACAUCAGAUUCAUGCUCUAGUCCUGUAUAUCCAAAUGAUGACUAGAGGCUGCCGGCUCUGCUCUUUCAAAGGCACAAUGAGCGUAGCCCGUCUACAAAACUCUCCCUUUUCCAAUCCAGCUUUCCCUCCUGCAUCACCUAUCUCUCUACAUCUGGAACCAUCGGCAGCUGCCUUCAUAAGGCACCUCAGUCUGGCAUUCGGAAAACCACCCUGUCUUGCCAGAGCCUCUUGGUCUUGGGUAGCAAAAGCUGUAUGCAAUCUAAAUCAAGCUUUCAAUCAUGAGAAAUCACAUUCCUUCUUUUCCCUUUGUAAUAUACUCAUGUGUUUUUUUUUUUCCUUUCUCAAUAAGCAAAUUGUACCACCAUCUUAUUCUGAGAUGCUCCUUUUUAAAAGCUGUAGAUCACAUUAAUGGAAGUGGUUACUGCUGGGAAUAUUUUCCAUGUGCAAUGAUCUGUAACCCUCUUUUUCUUUUUUUUGAGACCGAGUCUUGCUCUGUUGCCCAGGCCAGAGUGCAGUGGCACAAUCUCUGCUCACUGCAAGCUUUGCCUCCUGAGUUCAUGCCAUUAUCCUGCCUCAGCCUCCCAAGUAGCUGGGACUACAGGUGCCCGCCACCACGCCCAGCUAAUUUUUUUUUUUGAGAUGGAGUCUCGCUUGGUCGCCCAGGCUGGAGUGCAGUGGUGCAAUCUCAGCUCAUUGCAAGCUCCGCCUCCUGGGUUCACGCCAUUCUCCUGCCUCAGCCUCCCGAGUAGCUGGGACUACAGGUGUGAGCCACCACGCCUGGCCAUUCCCAGCUAAUUUUUUGUAUUUUUUAGUAGAGAUGGGGUUUCAUGAUGUUAGCCAGGAUGGUCUCAAUCUCCUGACCUGGUGAUCAGUCCGCCUAGGCCUCCCAAAGUGCUAGGAUUACAGGUGUGAGCCACUGCGCCCAGCCUAACUGUAACCCUCUUAUCUCAACUAGCUGACAUUAUUACUUCACAUCCAGUUCAAUUUAUAAAUUAAGAGAGGUGCCAUGGGCCUGGUACGGUGGCUCACCCCCAUAAUCCCAACACUUUGGGAGGCCGAGGCAGGUGGAUCACGAGGUCAGGAGUUCGAGACCAUCCUGGCUAACAUGGUGAAACCACGUCUCUACUAAAAAUACAAAAAAUUAGCCAGGUGUGGUGGCAGGCACCUGUAGUCCCAGCUACCUGAGAGGCUGAGGCAGGAGAAUGGUGUGAAUCCAGGAGGCAGAGCUUGCAGUGAGCAGAUAUCAUGCCACUGCACUCCAGCUGGGGCAACAGAGCAAAACAUCGUCCAAAAAAAUAAAAAUAAAAAUAAAAAUGAAAAAGAGGUGCCAUGUGUACAAAAAUCAAUGCACAUUUAUGAAAUUUUUUUUCAAAUAUAUUUUCACACAUUUUAUCUAAAUACAUAAUACAGAAGCCUGUGUGACUUGGGCAAUGUG
RNAcentral lists this long non-coding RNA (5195 nucleotides) under Homo sapiens (human). RNAcentral describes it as "HSALNT0357778". The record is from RNAcentral. Lineage: Eukaryota; Metazoa; Chordata; Mammalia; Primates; Hominidae.